RNAcentral lists this ribosomal RNA (254 nucleotides) under uncultured bacterium. Its description in RNAcentral is "partial 16S ribosomal RNA". It matches the Rfam family "Bacterial small subunit ribosomal RNA", at positions 524 to 776 of the family's 1533-position model. The record is from RNAcentral.
UACGAAGGGGGCUAGCGUUGUUCGGAUUUACUGGGCGUAAAGCGCACGUAGGCGGAUCGUUAAGUCAGGGGUGAAAGCCUGGAGCUCAACUCCAGAACUGCCUUUGAGACUGCAUCGCUUGAAUCCGGGAGAGGUGAGUGGAAUUCCGAGUGUAGAGGUGAAAUUCGUAGAUAUUCGGAAGAACACCAGUGGCGAAGGCGGCUCACUGGACCGGAAUUGACGCUGAGGUGCGAAAGCCGUGGGGAGCAAACAGG